GUCGGUGCCUAUAACGAUGAGGGUCCACCCGUUCCCAUUCCGAACACGGUAGUUAAGCUCACUCGUGCUGACAAUACUCGGAGGGCAGCCUCCCGGGAAGAUAAGUCGACGCCGACA
Molecule: ribosomal RNA, 117 nt
Organism: Ruminococcus sp. CAG:177
Lineage: Bacteria; Bacillati; Bacillota; Clostridia; Eubacteriales; Oscillospiraceae
Source: Rfam